RNAcentral lists this transfer RNA (77 nucleotides) under Clostridiaceae bacterium. RNAcentral describes it as "tRNA-Arg". It matches the Rfam family "tRNA". From Rfam's summary of the family: Transfer RNA (tRNA) molecules are approximately 80 nucleotides in length. Their secondary structure includes four short double-helical elements and three loops (D, anti-codon, and T loops). The record is from RNAcentral. RNAcentral also lists the same sequence under 4 other names. Lineage: Bacteria; Bacillati; Bacillota; Clostridia; Eubacteriales; Clostridiaceae.
GCGGCGUUAGCUCAGCUGGAUAGAGUGUUUGGCUACGAACCAAAAGGUCGGGGGUUCGAAUCCCUUACGCCGUACCA